AUUGAACGCUGGCGGCAGGCUUAACACAUGCAAGUCGAGCGGGGUGAUGGUGCUUGCACUAUCACUUAGCGGCGGACGGGUGAGUAAUGCUUAGGAAUCUGCCUAUUAGUGGGGGACAACAUCUCGAAAGGGAUGCUAGUACCGCAUACGUCCUACGGGAGAAAGCAGGGGAUCACUUGUGACCUUGCGCUAAUAGAUGAGCCUAAGUCGGAUUAGCUAGUUGGUGGGGUAAAGGCCUACCAAGGCGACGAUCUGUAGCGGGUCUGAGAGGAUGAUCCGCCACACUGGGACUGAGACACGGCCCAGACUCCUACGGGAGGCAGCAGUGGGGAAUAUUGGACAAUGGGGGAAACCCUGAUCCAGCCAUGCCGCGUGUGUGAAGAAGGCCUUAUGGUUGUAAAGCACUUUAAGCGAGGAGGAGGCUCUUUUGGUUAAUAACCGCAUUGAUUGACGUUACCCGCAGAAGAAGCACCGGCUAACUCCGUGCCAGCCGCCGCCGUAA
Molecule: ribosomal RNA, 502 nt
Filed under: uncultured bacterium
Lineage: Bacteria
Description: partial 16S ribosomal RNA
Rfam family: Bacterial small subunit ribosomal RNA
Source: RNAcentral